GGGAGGAAGACUUGGUCUCUUCGCUGUUGCCGGAAGCAAAAAAAAAAACGGGACCUUUAAACAAGUCGGCCUUAGGCCCAGAUAGAAAAAAACACACACGCUCUUUGAAACGUGGGUCCACUCUGCAAGUGCUAGAGGACAGGAGGACAGGAGGAGGACAGGAGGACAGGAGGACAGCAGCAGCUCCGAGCCCUGCGUCUACGGCUGCUCGGCCUCAGACGCGUCCAUGUCCAGCGGGGAGACGUCUGCGUCAAAAGUCCCGAGGUGCGUCCUUCAGCGGCUCAACUUCUCCACUUUGACUGCUACGGAAAAAAAAAAAAAAAACUCCCCGAUAUAAUAUUUACAACUCGCUGAAAUCAGUGGACGGGAGGGCGCGAUGCAGAAUGCUGCUUGGAGCCCACACACGCCUGACAGCCUGUUUGGAGAAUGACCAGACGAUUGGAAAAAAAAAAAAACUGCCUCUAAACCCUCGAAUAAUCCCACUACACGACUUUUCCACGUCUUAACCCCCUUCAUUCAAUUUACAAGUAGAACAGUUGAGUGAGACCACCAUGUGUCCGAAGAUUGGUGCAGGCCAAACUGAUUCUUUGGAAACCUGCUCCUGAAACAUGUCAAUGCAAUCGAGAAAAACGUGCUUGCAAAACGAAAAAAAUAAUCUACACCUGGAUUUUACAACAUUCUGCUUACAACCGAGAAAAAAUGUUUAUUAGUACAACUAGACAUUCUUUAUGCUUUGUCACACAAACAGAUUGUGUAUUCGAAAAUAGACUCAGCACCAACCAAAGCAGUGAAAAAGCUUUUUCAGGUAAAUAAUAUUUUUUUGUUGUAAAAUGGCCCUGAAACAGAAUAUUUGUAAAAUCUAAAUACUGCAGAAAAAAAUUUGAAAUACAUUUUCUCAGCAACACACCUUUGUAAUUCAACAUUGCUGGAAAAAAGAAAGACAAACAUGUUGUCAAGUCAUUUAAAAAGUAAUAAUGCAUGGAGUUUACUUAAAGAUUGCAUUUUUUUUAGGGAAAAAAAGGGUCUAUAUAGCAAAAUACACUAAACUAAACUAAAAUUACACUGUUGAAGAGCAUUUACAUAUUUUAGUAUACAACAAAAAGCAACAAAUUAUACAAAUAUAGAAUAAAACAGCAACAGUGGUCUUUAUUUUCAAAGUAUAUGGAAUAAAUGUUGUUAAUAAAAGUUGUUUAACUUAA
Long non-coding RNA from Limanda limanda (common dab), 1199 nucleotides. RefSeq lists it as uncharacterized. Lineage: Eukaryota; Metazoa; Chordata; Actinopteri; Pleuronectiformes; Pleuronectidae. The transcript is spliced from 2 exons. The record is from RefSeq and is a predicted model, not a curated record.